Molecule: ribosomal RNA, 419 nt
Filed under: uncultured bacterium
Lineage: Bacteria
Description: bacterial SSU rRNA
Rfam family: Bacterial small subunit ribosomal RNA
Source: RNAcentral
UGAGGAAUAUUGCGCAAUGGGCGAAAGCCUGACGCAGCGACGCCGCGUGGGGGAUGAAGGCCUUCGGGUUGUAAACCCCUUUCAGGAGGGAAGAUGGCGCGGGUAACCGCGCGGACGGUACCUCCAGAAGCAGCCACGGCUAACUCUGUGCCAGCAGCCGCGGUAAGACAGAGGUGGCAAGCGUUGUUCGGAUUUACUGGGCGUAAAGGACGCGCAGGCGGCCCGAGGGGUCUGUCGUUAAAGCCCGGGGCUCAACCCCGGGUGGUCGGCGGAGACCGGCGGGCUUGGAGGCCGGUAGAGGGAUGCGGAAUUCCCGGUGUAGUGGUGAAAUGCGUAGAGAUCGGGAGGAACACCAGAGGCGAAAGCGGCAUCCUGGGCCGGGCCUGACGCUGAGGCGUGAAAGCGUGGGGAGCGAACCG